Long non-coding RNA from Etheostoma spectabile (orangethroat darter), 340 nucleotides. RefSeq lists it as uncharacterized. NCBI's taxonomy places the organism in Eukaryota, Metazoa, Chordata, Actinopteri, Perciformes, Percidae. The record is from RefSeq and is a predicted model, not a curated record. The transcript is spliced from 3 exons.
UCAAACAAGAACAGUGUGCAGCACAAUCACACUGGAAAAAGGUAUCUCUUCAUUUACAGUCUAUGGGUCUACAGCAAUCAGCCAAAAUAAUUCUUCUGUGUGGAUUUGCCAUGGGGGUGCAGGACCUUUAACAAGUCACAUCUGAAAUCUGACAGUGCUAUUUUGACUGACUGUGCUGUCCUAUUAUGAUCAGUGUGGACACAAUGACAUGAAAAGAUAGAGAAAACAUUUCCCUUUAAUAAAUACAAAAUGUGUUUAUAUUAUAAUGUUCUUCUUAUGUUGUUAUUAGGUCAAGUCAAAUUUGACUUGACUUAAUAACAUAAAUACAGACUCCACUUAC